Non-coding RNA from Dipodomys ordii (Ord's kangaroo rat), 65 nucleotides. The record is from Rfam. NCBI's taxonomy places the organism in Eukaryota, Metazoa, Chordata, Mammalia, Rodentia, Heteromyidae.
GGUGGCUCAGUGGUAGAGUACUUGCCUUGCAUGCAUAAGGCCCUGGGUUCGAUUCCUCAGCACCA